GCUUCUCGGAGAGAACAUACUGUUCCCGCCCAGGCCUGCGGCUUGGGCAAGAGUGUGGGACGCCCUGUUCCCUGAUAAGAUGAGGCAACUGCUCUCGGCCGCCUCGCAGGGUGCCAGGGAACAUUUAUGUAACCCCCGCCCUGCGUGCCCCCCGCCCGCCCCCAUGACCCGCUACCUGCGUGCGCCCGCCCCCAACUAUCCACCUCCCGCCACCGUAUACCCCCAGGCCCGGCCCUCCAGCUCCUCUCCACACUGCGCCCCCAACGACCAGCACCAGCAGGUCCUCGACCUGCCCCCACCGUUAUCCACACCCGUCAGUCCUGGCUCCUUGGGGCCUAGCACCCACUGGCGGGUACCCACCCUCCAGCCCCUGGGUCCCCAGCGCCCCCCCACAGUGACCCUGGCCCUCCCUCCUCCCUAUGCAUCCAGCCCCCUUCCUCCUUCCCUCACUAGGCCCUGUCGCCAUCCUGUCCCACUGCGCCCUCCGCCCACACACGUGCCGCCCUCCUGGCUUCUGAAGGGGGGGGGCGGGCAGAGCGACCUGAAGUGCGCCCAUCCCAGGCUUAGGCUCCAGGGAGGCUGCAGGAGGCCUGGGCUCCCUUCAGGGGUCUGGGGUCUGGGUCGGGUCUCCCUUCCAGAGGGCCAGGGUCCCUUGUGCGCUGGGCCUCGCGCCCUCCGGUGGCAGCCCCGCGGUACCGCUGCUGUCUCCCGGUCACAUCCCAGGAGGAGGCAGGUGCGGAACCUGAGCCUGGCCGGGAAGAGGCUCGGCUUUGUUUGGUGCACGGGUGCACGCCCCGCCGGUCCCGGACCUGCUGGCCCCUGCCCCGCUCUGGGUGCAACCGCCCCUUCCCUAGCUCAGCUCAGCCACGUGCCACCUGGGGUCAGUCCCUGAGCUGCAGUGGCGGUUUUCAAAGUGAGGCCCAGAGACACCUGCAAGUACUCCAGACCCUUCCAGGGGGCGAUAAGGGGAGCGCCCCUUCGCCUGCAGCUGGCAGGACUGCAACAAGAAGUUCGCGCGCUCUGACGAGCUGGCGCGGCACUACCGCACGCACACGG
Molecule: RNA transcript, 1056 nt
Organism: Physeter macrocephalus (sperm whale)
Lineage: Eukaryota; Metazoa; Chordata; Mammalia; Artiodactyla; Physeteridae
Gene name: Krueppel-like factor 13
Exons: 2
Source: RefSeq, a predicted model, not a curated record